AUUGAACGCUAGCGGGAUGCCUAACACAUGCAAGUCGAACGGAGUGGCGAACGGGUGAGUAAUGUAUCGGAACGUGCCCCGUAGCGGGGGAUAACUACGCGAAAGCGUAGCUAAUACCGCAUACUAUUGGCGCGGCCGAUAUCGGAUUGGCUAGAUGGUGGGGUAGCGGCUCACCAAGGCGACGAUCCCGAGCGGGUUUGAGAGAACGACCAGCCAAACUGGUACUGAGACACGGCCCAGACUCCUACGGGAGGCAGCAGUGGGGAAUUUUGGACAAUGGGGGAAACCCUGAUCCAGCCAUCCCGCGUGUGCGAUGAAGGCCUUCGGGUUGUAAAGCACUUUUGGCAGGAAAGCGGUACCUGCAGAAUAAGCACCGUCUAACUACGUGCCAGCAGCCGCGGUAAUAC
RNAcentral lists this ribosomal RNA (407 nucleotides) under uncultured bacterium. RNAcentral describes it as "partial 16S ribosomal RNA". It matches the Rfam family "Bacterial small subunit ribosomal RNA", at positions 30 to 526 of the family's 1533-position model. The record is from RNAcentral.